This 2477-nucleotide long non-coding RNA is filed under the name Homo sapiens (human). Its description in RNAcentral is "HSALNT0251571". The record is from RNAcentral. Lineage: Eukaryota; Metazoa; Chordata; Mammalia; Primates; Hominidae.
CUCAACUAGCUCAGCAGCUCUUUAUGACCUCUGGCACAGACAGCAAAUUCCUUCCAGCUCAGCUCGUGGAGCUGGGCUCUGUACUGCCUUAAAACCAGCCCCGGCUCCUCAAUUACCUUCUGCCCUUAUUCAUGCCCUGCCAAUUCCUUUUUGCUGGAAUCUGAAUGAAGCCACUGCAUAUGCCAAGGCUGAGAAUCGCUUGAGAGGACUUAUGGGCCUUUUCCUUGAAGGAAAAGAUGGCACUUGGAACUUGGCCGGUGGAAGCAUCAUUCAGAUAUGAUUCAUUACAGGUAAGAGAAAGAAGACAGGAAUCUGCAGAAGAAAUCUUCCCAUAAGUCUGAUAUUUCUGGAAAAGGGGACAGAGUUGUCUGCUCUUUGUGACUUAGACUGGGCCAGUGCCGAAAUCACAAGUCCACAGAGUAUGCCUGAAGGAAGAUGGUUCUCAAUGCACCCACUGGGAAAAUGCACUCAUCCUCAAAUGACUGAGGCCGUUGUUUCCUUGCCUUUUAAGAUCUCAUCCCAGGAGGGAUUCUUCUCACUUUCUUUCAGUCCUGAACUCAGAGGAUUGUGCUGCUUAGGGAAGCCACCUCAUUAGGACAACUCAUUUUCCCUUCUCUCUAGUAGAGGUUACUGCCACAAGCUGAACACAGUGAAAAAUAAACUGUGAACUUGAAGAGGGAGGAGGGAAGGUGGAGGUGUUUAUCUCAAGCUUAAGAGAAGUUCUGCAAAAGGCGUUUUUUAGUUUGCCCAGUUUCAUUUCUUUAAUCCCUGGUUUCUCUGUGGUUUUGCUGUAUGCUUGCCCAGACACGUCACAUGCACCAGCCUUAUAACUAGAAAAGUCUCUGGCCUCACAAGAAGAGGGAGAUCUCCCUGAAAAUAAUCUCCGAAGGGUUGGUCUGGAGCAGGAAAUGAGAGUGAAAGGCACAUCUGUAGGAGGGGUUCCGCUUGCUCACACUCGGAAUGUGCUCGCCCUCUCCUCCUCUCUUUGAUGACAGGAAGUGCACAUACUCCAAGCUCCAUUUCCUCAAUGUCCCAGGUGAAAUUAUCCCCGGAGAGAGGGAUAACCCUAACUAUUAAAAAGAUGUAUGCUUGAUUCAAUGUUCCAAAUAAUAUUCAGCACAAACGAAUCUCUGGACACCUAAGCUGUAAUAGACCAUGAGAUUUGGAAGAGGAUGAGGAAGAGUACUAUCCAAGGAACCGGCUAUCAUCACAAAUUCUGCAGACUCAGACACCUCUCGACAGCAUGUCUCCAACAACCCCGCCCCCCAUUCAGAGCCACUCUUCCGGAAAUCAACUCACAGUUCACCUCCUGUCUAAAUUCUGGUGUAGAAAUGGAAACCUCUUGUAAGAUGUCAUAGAUAUUUUGGCUGAAUCAUCAGCAGAAGUUCUUGUCCAUCCCUUAGACUUAGGAUGGCCUGGUUAGUAUGGUUUGAUGGGACAAAGCUUGAAUACCAUGACCAGAAGCAUUUCUGUGUUCUCCUGUCUAAGGGCAGUGAAGAGACAUGUGGUCUAGGACAUGUAUGACAACUCUGCUCCAUGAAGCCAUCUAGGCACCUAGACUCCUUCUGUCUUGUCACCAUACCAUCCAGACGAUCUCCACAUUUGAUGAUUAAAGCCAGCUCAUUAGUACCACUUCCAGCUCGUGGCAAGAGGAAGGAGAGAGGUAUUUGUUAUGUCUCAGGAAAGCUGGAUGACUAUCUCAUUCUCUGAUGAUGGAGAAGAAUACUCACAACCUGCUCCCCACCUCCCACUGUGAAAUGCCAAUAUGGUGGAAACAGAAGGGAGAAGAAAGAACAGCGGAGACACUGAUCAUUCGAAACCAAAGAAGCAGCUCAUGCAUAAUGGAGAGCUAUCUGCAUGCAAAUUGCUAGGAGUACUUCCUACUUUUCUGGGAUAUUGUAUUUAGCCCUCUGUACUCUAUUCAGAAGAGUUCUGUUCCCCAGGCCAAGAAGGUAAAAUGUGGAUUGUACUUGAAUAGUCUUGUGAAUGAAAAAUGGCUAAAUUCUUUUUAUUAAGUGGAAUAAUCAAACUGGCAGAGUAAUUUCCCUAAAUUUAAAUUCCCAUUACAGAGAAAAGACACACUCUUGCCCACUUAUGGCCUCUGUUCUUUAUCACAUGCUUUCUCCCUAGCUGCAGAAGCCUAGAAGAACCUUGUUCAAUGGAUUGUCACAGAGAGAGCCGAAGGCAUGGCCACAGAAAGUAGGGCACAGGGAGAAGCUAACUCCCUAAUUUCUUUUUCUUUUUUCAGUUGAGAUAUACAUGAUGCUUUCUUGAUCUUUUGCUCUGUUUCCACCAGUUGUAUUAUAUAUGCAUAUAAAAUGUCCAUUUAAAAUACCAUACAGUUUGUGCCAGACUAGUCCAUUUUCACUAUCUUCUGAUCUCUCAUAGACAGAAUAUUAAAAUCCAAGAAGGAUUUAGCUCAGUGCACAUGUUGCCACUGGUAACCCAUGGUAAUAAGGUAACCCUAUAUAUUCACA